GUGAACAUGGCGAACUGCUCAGUAACACGUGGACAACUUACCCUCUGGACUGGCAUAACCCCGGGAAACUGGGGAUAAUUCCAGAUAGACCAGAGAUGCUGGAAUGCUCUUUGGUUAAAAGUUUUUAACGCCAUAGGAUAGGUCUGCGGUCUAUCAGGUUGUAGUGGGUGUAACGUACCUACUAGCCGACAACGGAUACGGGUUGUGAGAGCAAGAGCCCGGAGAUGGAUUCUGAGACACGAAUCCAGGCCCUACGGGGUGCAGCAGGCGCGAACACUUUACAAUGCGGGAAACCGCGAUAAGGGAACCCCGAGUGCCAGUACUAAGUGCUGGCUGUCCGAAUGAAUAAAAAUCAUUUGAUAGCAAGGGCCGGGCAAGACCGGUGCCAGCCGCCGCGGUAACACCGGCGGCCCGAGUGGUAACCGAUUUUAUUGGGUCUAAAGGGUCCGUAGCCGGCUUGAUAAGUCCUUUGGGAAAUCUGGUAGCUUAACUAUCAGGCUUCUAAGGGAUACUGUCAGGCUUGGGACCGGGAGAGGUAAGGGGUACUCCAGGGGUAGGAGUGAAAUCUUGUAAUCCCUGGGGGACCAUCUGUGGCGAAGGCGCCUUACCAGAACG
RNAcentral lists this ribosomal RNA (615 nucleotides) under uncultured archaeon. RNAcentral's name for it is "bacterial SSU rRNA". It matches the Rfam family "Archaeal small subunit ribosomal RNA", at positions 72 to 687 of the family's 1478-position model. The record is from RNAcentral.